Molecule: transfer RNA, 85 nt
Filed under: Spirochaetales bacterium
Lineage: Bacteria; Pseudomonadati; Spirochaetota; Spirochaetia; Spirochaetales
Description: tRNA-Ser
Rfam family: tRNA
About the family: Transfer RNA (tRNA) molecules are approximately 80 nucleotides in length.
Source: RNAcentral
GGAGAGGUGUCCGAGUGGUUGAAGGAGGCGGUCUUGAAAACCGUUGAACCGCAAGGUUCCGGGGGUUCGAAUCCCCCCUUCUCCG